This 402-nucleotide ribosomal RNA is filed under the name bacterium. Its description in RNAcentral is "partial 16S ribosomal RNA". It matches the Rfam family "Bacterial small subunit ribosomal RNA", at positions 355 to 776 of the family's 1533-position model. The record is from RNAcentral.
UGGGGAAUUUUGCACAAUGGGGGAAACCCUGAUGCAGCGACGCCGCGUGAUUUAGAAGGCCUUCGGGUUGUAAAAAUCUUUUCUAUGGGAAGAAAAUGACAGUACCAUAGGAAUAAGGACCGGCUAAUUACGUGCCAGCAGCCGCGGUAAUACGUAAGGUCCGAGCGUUGUCCGGAAUCAUUGGGCGUAAAGGGUACGUAGGCGGGUAAGCAAGUUAGAAGUGAAAUCCUAUAGCUCAACUAUAGUAAGCUUUUAAAACUGCUCAUCUUGGGGUAUGGAAGGAAAAGUGGAAUUCCUAGUGUGGCGGUGAAAUGCGCGGAGAUUAGGAGGAAUACCGAUGGCGAGGGCGACUUGCUGGACAUAUACUGACGCUGAGAUACGAAAGCGUGGGUAGCAAACGGG